GGAAGAGUGGGUGAGUUGGCUUAAACCAGCAGUUUGCUAAAUUGCCGAAGGAGCAAUCCUUCCAAGGGUUCGAAUCCCUUCUCUUCCGCCA
This 91-nucleotide transfer RNA is filed under the name Candidatus Pelagibacter sp. RNAcentral describes it as "tRNA-Ser". It matches the Rfam family "tRNA". Rfam says of the family: Transfer RNA (tRNA) molecules are approximately 80 nucleotides in length. Their secondary structure includes four short double-helical elements and three loops (D, anti-codon, and T loops). Further hydrogen bonds mediate the characteristic L-shaped molecular structure. tRNAs have two regions of fundamental functional importance: the anti-codon, which is responsible for specific mRNA codon recognition, and the 3' end, to which the tRNAs corresponding amino acid is attached (by aminoacyl-tRNA synthetases). tRNAs cope with the degeneracy of the genetic code in two manners: having more than one tRNA (with a specific anti-codon) for a particular amino acid; and 'wobble' base-pairing, i.e. permitting non-standard base-pairing at the 3rd anti-codon position. RNAcentral also lists the same sequence under 2 other names. The record is from RNAcentral. Lineage: Bacteria; Pseudomonadati; Pseudomonadota; Alphaproteobacteria; Candidatus Pelagibacterales; Candidatus Pelagibacteraceae.